GGCAAAACAGUAUACUCAUUACCUUUUUUUUUGUAGCUCACUGCAUUACAUCAAUAGGAAUCUGAAAUGAUUUGAAAUAUGCUUUAGUAACUUAUGAUAUUAAUUUUGGACUCUAAUGUCUUCAAAGCACUCUCAAGAAUCAAGAUACAUAUAUCAAGAAUCAGGAAAUGAAAAACAUACUACAACUCUCAAACUUUUGUUUUUGUUUUUGAUAAAUCAAAACUGAUUUAUCAACUCCAUACAACAUAUAUGAAAAACAUAAGCUAUGAAAAAUCUGCUCAUUAAAUGAAAAAAGGAUAAGAACAUAUAUGGAGCUGUGAAAUAGGAAAUCACUUUACCUCAACAAAAGGAUAAAUCAAAGGAAAGAGUCAGAAGAUGAUUGAAACAUACAACCUGCAAUACACCAGACACUUAGUAAGAAGAAAAUCAAUAUAAAAUAAAUGUGUCCAGUUCAAAAGAGAUUAUUAUUUUUAUUGUUGGACAUGGUACAAACAAUUCAUAACCCAUAAUCAAUAAAUUUAAAUUUAAUUUCAUGACACUUGUAAAAUAAAUUAGAGAACAAUCUACCUCAUAUUAUCAUUGACUUCAUCUCUUGAUUCUCAGAACCUUCUUCUUCAACCUUUCUCCUUUAAGAAACCCAAAAACACAAACACAAAGUUCAAUCAAUCAGAUACUCAAAACAAAGAAAAGUAAAAUUUCAACCAUAAACACUACUCUACUAUCUAUGGACACAGAUUACCUUCAAAUAAAAGGAUUGUUGUUGAACAACAGUGAUUCAAAAUCGUGUCUCCCUGAGCUACAGGAGAAGAAAAAAUUGAAAUCAGGGUUUAGAAUAUGAACACACUUCAGAUAUUAAAAAAAGAAAAAAAUAGAUUUAUAAUUAUUACCUCCGUCGUUGUUCAUGUGUUUGGUCGUAAGUAAAAUCGGCUUGGUAGCUAUUUGCGAUUGGAAUAGAGGAAGAGGAUGAGGAGAGAAUGAAUGAAUUCAUAGAGAGAGAGUGAGAGAUUUGAGGGGAGGAUUUAAAAUUUGAAUUUGAAUUGAGUGAAACUUGUCUGAGGGUUGUGCAGAUUUGGUGUUUAUGGAGUUUGUCUCAACUCUCAUAGCUUGCAAAGCUGUUUA
RNAcentral lists this long non-coding RNA (1119 nucleotides) under Medicago truncatula (barrel medic). RNAcentral describes it as "long non-coding RNA (MTRU_LNC002974)". The record is from RNAcentral. Lineage: Eukaryota; Viridiplantae; Streptophyta; Magnoliopsida; Fabales; Fabaceae.